AUGUGUUUGUGCCCGAUAGACUGUGAAAUGGUGUGUUGCUCCACGGCUGUGCUGCACCUGCGCCCCACCGAGGAAAAGCCUCAGAUAGAGGUCCAUUCCCAUUGUAUGGUAGAGAUACGGGAUUGCCAGGCUGUCAAACUAGCCUGCUCCGGUCAGAUAUGGGGCUUGGAAGUCCAGGUCAGCUGUCAUCCUCGGGGAAGCCUGGAACAACCUACUACCCAUUUUCUGGCACAAAUCAGCGCCGAAGACCACUUCAUGACUCGCCAGCUCUUGAUCCUCUACAGACAAAGAAAGUAAGAAAGGUGCCCCCUGGUUUGCCUUCUUCUGUAAGUACCGAUUGUUUUACUUACAGUAAGUAAAGUGGGCUGAAACUGGGUUCUGUUUAGCUGACAUGCAAAUUACUUAAGCUAUCAUUAGGAAGGCUAUCUGCUGGACAUGAACAGCUAUGCUAGGCGAUUGGGAGUGGUUUUUGAGGACUAAAUACACAUUUGAUGUGUAAUUUUUAGAUUUCAUAGCAGUGAUUUGUAGCUUGCUCAUAUGCUCCUACCCACUUGUCCCUGUCAUUUGAAUUCCUCUCUUGGGAAGAGAGCUGGGCCAGGAGCUGUCAAAGAAGAUCUCCUGUACAGGUCUUUUGAUGUUUAAUUAGUCAUUAUGUUGCUGAACAGGAGGACAGACAGAGAUUAAUAGCUGAGAAUCUUAGAAAUUUACAUUUGUAAUAAUCCCAGUGGAGCUGAAGACAUUAAGAUUCGGAGGACAUGUACAGCUCAGCUUGCCUCAGUAGGACUGAGGUUAUUAAUAUGCAUAAAUCACCGAGUCAGAUGUUCAUUGUGAAGCCCUGGUGGAUUUUAAAGCCUUCAUUAAGCCUUUCCUAACUUCAGCCUAGCAUCAGGAAAGCUUUCAAGCAACUAGUUUGUUGAUCCCUCUUUGCUUGAAAAUUUAUCCUUCGAGAAUAAAGGGCUUUGAUGAAAAAGGUUGGAAGGGUUUUGGUGGAAAAAUCAUUAAUGGCUGUGAUAAUCUAAUGCUAUAGGGGUGUUCUGCGGUAUUAAAUAUGCUUUAUUCUUAAAAAGAAGAAAAUUUGUUUAUAAAUGAAUCUGCAUUUAAAAAUCCACGUGAAGUGCAAAAUCCCCAGUGAAGUGAAGGACAGAAUUAUUUUUCUUCCUGCUCAGAACAAACAGGAGGGGAGGGGGAAGCGCCGCUGCCUUGCGGGGUACAUCUCUUUGUUGUGUAAAUGCGUGUUGGGCUUUUAUUUGGCAGUACUUAACACAUGGGCGCAGGUGCACUCGGAUGAGUCAUAACUCAAAGCCGGAUAGGCUGAAUAGCGCAUACUGCACAGGCAACAGUAAUAUAGCGGGAGCAAAAUGAGGCCGAUCUUUUUAUUCUGUAUGAAGUCUGAAGUAUGGAUGGUGUCUUCCAGUCCUCGCGUCUCCCCCGUUCUCCCCUCCCUCUCUACCCCUUCUCCCUCCCCCGGCUCACAGUGAUACCUACCGAAACCUGGAUCUGAAAUCCUAUUUUAACCGUACUUGCAGAUGGAGCUGCGAUAGCGGGGAUAGCCUGGGGCAGCUGUGCUCUGAACCUGCAGCCUACCUGGAAGCCAGGAUUGCAGCUGCAGGCACUCUUAAAAGCUUUUGCUUGCAUAAGCACUUGGGCCCCACUAGAGGCUGAAUAGCUGCUUGAUAAACAAAAUGAACACAAUGCCUCAAAUCAUUAUUCCCGAGGCCAGGAAUAUUCUUUUUCUUCCUUUUUUUUUUUCCCUUUUUUUUUUUUUUNUUCAGGAGUUACUGUAACUAAGUUGAGAAAUAGUAAUAACAUCGUGUGACUUGAGCCAAUUGUAACUAAUUGGUGGGUCACUUUGAAAGAGCACAGAGCCAGUAUUUUCAAAGGACUUCUCAACACGUGGAGAGAACAGUAUGGCUUGUUUGGAAAGGCACAAGGGGAUAGUAAUUUAAUUGUGGAUGUGCUAUGAGCAAAAGCAUUAUUUAAUGGUGUUAUAGAAUCACGGAAUUGGUUGGAAGGGACCUUAAAGACCAUCCCGUUCCAACCCCAUGCCAUGGACAGGGACUCCACGCACCAGAUCAGCUGCCCGGAUCCCCCUCCAGCCUGGCCUUGAGCACCUCCAGGCGUGGGGCAC
Molecule: long non-coding RNA, 2128 nt
Organism: Pavo cristatus (Indian peafowl)
Lineage: Eukaryota; Metazoa; Chordata; Aves; Galliformes; Phasianidae
Source: Ensembl